This is a long non-coding RNA of Lacerta agilis (Sand lizard), 420 nucleotides long. RefSeq lists it as uncharacterized. Lineage: Eukaryota; Metazoa; Chordata; Lepidosauria; Squamata; Lacertidae. The record is from RefSeq and is a predicted model, not a curated record. The transcript is spliced from 2 exons.
AGCAAAGCAGUGAGUGCUUCAUCAUGCGAGGACAAGCAAAAGAGAUUUGUUCUAGGUAGCAGAAUUUGCCCCUUAUCGACUAACCUUCUUGUACGUUGCAGGGUACAAAUUAAUGAUCAGCCUUAAAUUAAAAGGAGAGAACAUCAACCCCCAGAUGAUGCAAAGAUGUGCAAGGCUCAGCAUCAAAUGCACCUGCAGAGUGUAUAAAGCUGGAGAAAAUGUCACGGCAGCCAACUGAAGAAGAGGCAAGGGAGAGGAACACAGCAAAUAUAAUGAGAAAGGCAUCUCUCAGGAAAGUGCUUACAACAGAUAGCAGAACAAAAACUGACAGAUGCAGGAUCAAGUUGCACAAUGAAGGGUGGCUAAGCUUCUUUGAAGAUGAAUACUUCAUAUUCAAAAUAAAAUAGAUCAUUGGAUUUA